Molecule: ribosomal RNA, 975 nt
Filed under: uncultured bacterium
Lineage: Bacteria
Description: bacterial SSU rRNA
Rfam family: Bacterial small subunit ribosomal RNA
Source: RNAcentral
CAUGCAGUCGUGCGAGAAAAUAUCUUCGGAUAUGAGUAGAGCGGCGGACGGGUGAGUAACGCGUAGGAAUCUACCUAGUAGAAGGGGAUAGCCCGAGGAAACUCGGAUUAAUACCGUAUACCUCCUUCGGGAGAAAGAAGGCCUCUCUUUGAAGCUUUCGCUACUAGAUGAGCCUGCGUAAGAUUAGCUUGUUGGUGAGGUAAAGGCUCACCAAGGCUACGAUCUUUAGCGGGUCUGAGAGGACGAUCCGCCACAUUGGGACUGAGACACGGCCCAGACUCCUACGGGAGGCAGCAGUGGGGAAUAUUGGACAAUGGGCGCAAGCCUGAUCCAGCCAUACCGCGUGUGUGAAGAAGGCCCUAGGGUUGUAAAGCACUUUAAGUUGGGAAGAAAAGUUAUUGGCUAAUACCCAAUAACCGUGACAUUACCAUCAGAAUAAGGACCGGCUAAUUCCGUGCCAGCAGCCGCGGUAAUACGGAAGGUCCAAGCGUUAAUCGGAAUUACUGGGCGUAAAGCGCGCGUAGGUGGUUUAUUAAGUUGGAUGUGAAAUCCCCGGGCUCAACCUGGGAACUGCAUCCAAAACUAAUUCACUAGAGUACGAUAGAGGGAGGUAGAAUUCACAGUGUAGCGGUGGAAUGCGUAGAUAUUGUGAAGAAUACCAAUGGCGAAGGCAGCCUCCUGGAUCUGUACUGACACUGAGGUGCGAAAGCGUGGGUAGCGAACAGGAUUAGAUACCCUGGUAGUCCACGCCGUAAACGAUGUCAACUAUCUGUUGGAAAGCAUUGCUUUUCAGUGGAGCAGCUAACGUAAUAAGUUGACCGCCUGGGGAGUACGGCCGCAAGGCUAAAACUCAAAUGAAUUGACGGGGACCCGCACAAGCGGUGGAGCAUGUGGUUUAAUUCGAUGCAACGCGAAAACCUUACCUAUGCUUGACAUACUUGGAAUACUUUGUAAUGAAGUAGUGCCUUCGGGAGC